GACGUAGGGCGCGAGCGUUGUCCGGAUUUAUUGGGCGUAAAGAGCUCGUAGGCGGCUUGUCGCGUCGAAUGUGAAAACCCACGGCUCAACUGUGGACUUGCAUUCGAUACGGGCAGGCUAGAGUUCGGUAGGGGAGACUGGAAUUCCUGGUGUAGCGGUGAAAUGCGCAGAUAUCAGGAGGAACACCGGUGGCGAAGGCGGGUCUCUGGGCCGAUACUGACGCUGAGGAGCGAAAGCGUGGGGAGCGAACAGG
This 253-nucleotide ribosomal RNA is filed under the name uncultured bacterium. RNAcentral describes it as "partial 16S ribosomal RNA". It matches the Rfam family "Bacterial small subunit ribosomal RNA", at positions 524 to 776 of the family's 1533-position model. The record is from RNAcentral.